GUUAUUGUAGCUUAAAAUGUUAAAGCACGACACUGAAGUUGCCGAGAUGGAUUUUCAAUUUUUCCCAAAAACA
Molecule: transfer RNA, 73 nt
Filed under: Scincella huanrenensis
Lineage: Eukaryota; Metazoa; Chordata; Lepidosauria; Squamata; Scincidae
Description: tRNA-Phe
Rfam family: tRNA
About the family: Transfer RNA (tRNA) molecules are approximately 80 nucleotides in length. Their secondary structure includes four short double-helical elements and three loops (D, anti-codon, and T loops).
Source: RNAcentral